Non-coding RNA from Taeniopygia guttata (zebra finch), 7513 nucleotides. The record is from RefSeq and is a predicted model, not a curated record. NCBI's taxonomy places the organism in Eukaryota, Metazoa, Chordata, Aves, Passeriformes, Estrildidae.
AUUUUCGACAUCCCCAGAGUGAACCUAAAUGCACAAAGUAGUAUUAAUACUAAAUGAUAGUGAGCCUGACUGGAUGUAGAAGGCAGAAUUUAAAAUACUACUCUUAAAGAAUGCUAGUUACUAGUGUAUGGCUUCUAAUGUGCUUUCUGUUGUGGCUCACAUUAUUCCAUAUAAUGUUCUAGAUCUUCAUUCAGAUUUUGAACAAAUUUAUCAGAUUUUUCAGUUUAUUUCCCUAAAAUAUGUGAAAAGCAUAACUGCCUCAGUAGCAUUUUAAGAGAACUAGUGUGUUAACCAGUAUUCAGAGAAACCUGACUUUGCAGAGAAAUCAAUCCUUUCGUCAUGCUUGGACUCAUGAGCGACAUCUCUCUUUGGCUCCCUCCACCUUGAAAACUUUGUUAAAACUUGUUCUUAGAAGUUGUUCGUGUGCAACAGAUUAGUCUCAGUCCUUAUCAGAAAAAGCCCUCAGUAAUACAUAUUCAGAAGUACUGGGCCUCAUAAAAAAAAAAAAAAAAAAAAAAAAAAAAAAAAAAAAAAAAAAGCAGCUGAAUGGUACAAUGACUUCUAAUGUUAGAAAGCUACAUGUGGGAACACAUGUAAUGAGUUAGUAUUUGAGGUGAAGACUGGUUUAGGUCUCCUUGUUUGAAGACAAUCAUUAAUCUUCUCUUAUCACAUAAAUCUACCUUUCAUAGCAGGAAGGAAGUCUGUGCCUAUUCAUGCUUGUGCACCGUCCUUAUUUCACACAAGUACUUUGAAAAGACAUACAGGAGAGUAUCUGUGGAGCUGCUAUCAUUCAGUUUAAGCAAAAGGUAAAAAAAAGUAGACCCACUAUGACUUAAAAAUAUGGUUUGACACUAAUGAAUGAGCCAGUCUUAUCUCUUUCUGUAAAUAAUGUGAAUGAGAAGGUGGUGACAGGGCAACUGGAGCAGUACCUGACUUCUUACUCUUAUCAUGGACCCUCAGCUGUGCCCUUUUUACACAUAGAUAGAGAUGUAUUUGAUUACACUGAUAAAUGUAGUUGUAGCUUGGAUGGUAUAAGGUUUCAGAAGAGACAGCUAACUGAAAGACAGACCAUGAGUGAUCUAGUGGGAAGUGGUGGAUACAGUGAUGGUGGCACUCUUCGCGCUGUUCAGCUGCUCAGAACAGUGAAGUCAGAACCACUUGUCAAGAUCUAACUCACUGAAAGAAUGAUAAAUUCACUGACUAACAGAGGCCCCUUUAAAAAUAAACAAGCGAGAGCUGAUUUUAUUCAGGAAAGCUUUCAAUCAAUUAGUGGUAACAAGAGCUAUUCAAGUACAGGUUUUGUGAGACAGCAGUCUUAUUGUCUAAACUCACAAGUAUAGGGGGAACCAAGUCAGACACAGAAUCCAGAGGAAUCAGUAUAGUGUGAAAAGAGAAAUUAAAGAUGUCAGGGUUAUUUUGUAUGCCACAUCUUUUCAAUAGCCCAGACUCCCAGAGCCAUUUUAAACACAGUAUCUGUUUCCAAAACCUCUGCAUAAUACCUGUUUGUAUACAGAUGCAUAUAAAUAUGCUGAAACUUAUACAUGUAUAAAUACGUGCAUAAGGAAAAAAAUGGAGAUGCAUCCUUAAACAAUCAGGAUUACAAAUUAAAAAUACUCAAAGAUAGAAUGACCAUAAUCAGUCCUGAUGAUUGCACCUUCCCCUGAAGCAUAACUGGGAGUGUGAUGGGUUAUUCUGUGACAAUCAUAUCACAUUGUCUCUUUAGAAAUUACAAGAUAGCAGAAGAAAAGAAAUCUGAAAGAAGAAAGCUGAAAAGUUCUCAGACUCAACUACUUUCUCUCCCUUGUUAAUCUUCACAUCUACUGUUUCCUUUCAUUCCAGGUAGGGAGAGCCUAUCAAUGUACAUGUCUUCCUUAAAGCAAUUGUCUAGAAGGGUGCUAAGGACCCACUUACCCGCCCAACUAUUUUCUCCAUUCCUUCUAGAAGUCGCUUGUUUUGUUCUUCAAUCUCCACAGCCUUCCAGAGAAUGGUUUCUGGAGCUUCUUUGAUUCUUUGUACUUCAGAGGCCAGGUGGAUCAGGGGAUCAUUCCAGGAACGCAGAACUCCCAGUAUUAAAUUCAGUAGGUCUUCAUGCUGCACACACAUAGUAAGGAAAGGUGGUUAAAAGAAGAAAGCUAAAUUCUGGCAAAAUUAGAAGGCAUUUAGAGCAGUGUCCUCAGACAUUUUGAUUUAGGAAUUUAUUCCAGCACCUAUCACUGAAUGUGCCCUAUAGCCCUGUCUUAGAUACCUCUGUGCAAUUGCAUUUUUGAAGUUUUCAUUGGUGUCAUCAUGUUCUACAAUGUUUGCAUGAGCCAUAUUGCAGUGAAAAAUAUAAUUGAACACUCUCAGCAUUAAAGACUAGCAAGCAUAACUGUGUCUCAUCUCUGUGAAAGCAAACCCAGAACUCCUUAUCCGAUUUUCAAUGAAUGUUUUAAAAUCCACUGAUUAUUUUUAUUAUUUUUUUUUUUAAUUUAGUACUGACUGGAAGGUGCACAUUAUGGUAAACCACCAAAUAGCUUUUAUUGCCUCUACAUAAUUCUUCUGUCCUCCCCUUUGAACAAUAGUGCUUCCAGCAGUAGCUUUCUGGUUUUAAAAAUUAUCCUUUCUUGUGGGCAAUAGGAAUUCAUCAAGCCUAUGGUUGAGUUUGUGGCAGUAUUAAAACCAUUUCUUCUUUGCUAGAUGGACAGCCCAGGGCCGUGAAUUCUAUUGCUCCCACUAGAAUUUCUAAAUGACACAUUGAGAAGCUGGUGAUACUGUGGGAUUGUGAAGAUAACAUUACCACCAUAAAACUGGUAGAAAUUUCACUGUGGAACAGCCCCAUUUAUACAGCUCUGCUUAUUUUUUUCUCCAGAGAAUUUUCAAAUCGUAUCUGUGAGCACAGACUGAAUGAGACAUCUUCACUGAAGUUUAUAAUUAUUAUAAAUGAUGUAUGUAUGUAGUGCGCUUCUAUUUACAGAUAUUUUGCAGAUUUUCACAGUAGGGUCUUUGUAUUUCGAUAAUGAUGUGACCAGUUUUGCCUACUGGUAACAGGAAGAAUAUUCAAUGUUUUUUUGGUAAUGCCAGUGUUUUGAGUUACAGGAAAACUAUUUACCUCUGUCUACAUACAGCAAUGUGUUUUAUGUUUGCAAAUACAUUAAUUGUUUAUAAGAUGUUUUAAGAUAAUGUUUGAAGGUUGUAUUGUUCUCAGUACUGCACAAACAUGGUAACUGGCAUUGCUCCAUGAGGUAGUAUUUUAAUUGAAAUUAAGAUGCAGGGAUUAAACGUACCAUACAGGAAAAGGAAGGGAUGAUGAAAGUGACUGGUACUUAUGUAUGCUGUAUGGUUUUUAACUUAGUAUCAGCAAAUGUUAAAUUAACUUUGGCUUUUUGGUGUUUUCCUCUUCCUGGCUUUUUUAUUCUGAUUGAGUUGAUCUCCCUCUCACUCUGAAACCCUCUGUAACCCUCCUUCCCUGCCUUCCCCUGCUCCAUCUUACACUGAAUUACACUGGAAGUGGGACUUACAUGAAUCUGCUGAGCCUGCUCCUUAUCUUCAGGAGUGGUUAAAGACGCAGUGUGGCAGCUGUUGACAGCUUUUGCAAUGAAACCCCGGCCCUGGGCGUAGCGUUCAUCCUGCAGAUCAGGACAGGUGUUACUGAGACAGAAGGAAAAGACUACUUACAAAUUCAUUGAACAUUUCCGAAGAGAGGAAGUGAAUGUAGUGUGAAAGUUUAACUGCUCGGUCAAAAAGCUCCUCAAGGGAGAGCUGGCAAUUGACAGAUCCAUUGGGGCAGAUUGGCAAAGAGGUCACUCCUUCCUUUGUCAGAAGCAUGUGGGACACCAGAAGGGCUGCCAGCAACAAACCUGUUCAAGUUUAAAACACGGUGAAAUGGGCUCACAUUGACUUGCAGGCACAUUUAGAAGCAGCUGUGAGAGCCAGAUGCUGGGUGAUUUGGGGUGUGCUGUCACACGGCUCAGAGUAACCCCUGUGCUGGCUGCUGAACAACAGUGGAGGACGGAUACACUGUAAUUCUAUAAUUCUUUUAUCCUUUCUCCCCUCUGUCAUCCUCAUGGUAUAGCAGAGCCAGUUACAGAGUUUGAGGAGACAAGGUAACCUGUGCUGUGGUGUAUUCUUACUACGUGCCUGGCUUUAUAACAGAAUGAUAAACAGGAGGAAAAAAAACAAAUCAAAAUUCUUAGUGCAAAUAUAGAUACAUAAUUAUAUUUACACAGACAUAUAAGUGUGGAAAAUAGAUUGGGUUUUUUUUCUUUCUUUUUUUUUUUUUUCCCUCCUCCUCCCAGAGGUCCUUUUCUUCCUUGCAAACAUUUGGAGUUAAAAUUAAUUUUUGUGGGAGGGUGGUUAGGUCACUCUUAAGGCUGUGAUUGUCCUGGGAGUUCCUUCAAAAGAUUUCCACCAGCUGUGCUUCUUUGCUCUUUAGAGUUUAACCCUAAAUUUUCUACUUCUAAGAAAUCAGUAAUAGUUUUUUCUUUUCUCCUGAGCUUUUGAAACUGAUAUAGAGGACUUCUCAUUAUCUAAGCAAAAAACCUCAUCUGUUUAAAACUUUUCAUGUUAACUUAGCAGAGUUUUUUAUUCAGUGAAAUAUAAUAUACAGAGAAAAACAAUGGCAAAUAAUUAAAAGAAAAUAUUUGGUAAAUGAAUGUUCUGAGACUUUUACUUCUGGAAAUUGACCUGUUACCUAUAAUGGUUCACUAGAAAUAUUUAAAAUGCUCAAUUAAAGUGUUCAUCGUAUAUCAGCAAAACUAUCCCUAAGGAUUCUCAUGAUAAGUUUCUUUAUAGCUCUACACUCAAAAACGUGGAUUUACACAAUAUUGAUGUAAGAUUUCCUCCUCCCCCAUGAGCAAGGUACAUGUUGGACACUGCAGUUAGGAAAGUACUCUAAGGAAUAACUCUAUGAAAAUCUGAGACUUGUUGGCUUGGAAAGUUGAUGGAUGUUUUGAAAACAUUCAUUUCAAAAUUACCACAUCACCUCUAGACUUGUGGGUAAUGAUGUCUGGUCAUAGCCUUCUGAGUGGUACAGCAAACCAGUCCAGAUCCAAACUUUCACAUGCAGGUGUGAUAUCCCUCAAACCAAUUUUUUGUGACACCACCCAAUGCAAAGGUACACUUAGAUGAUAAAAGGCAUCAAGCUCCUUUCUUCUGGUUUUGUCCUUUCUGGAAAAUUACAUGGCUGGAUUUCAGAUGCCUCCUAAUUCAAUUGAAAUAGAAAAAAGUAGAAAAAUUGUCAGCAGGUGAAUGUUAAAGUUCUUACCUUUCAGUGAAGCCCCCUUGGUGCUCAUGGUUCGGAUUCUGGAUGAUGACUUUCUUUACCAGAAAGAAAUCUCAAUUCUUGCUGCUAUUCUCUGCACAUACUGCUCUUAUAUACACCAUGCAGGGUCCAUUUUGCAUACAUUCAGCAGGUUGUGGAGUUUGCUUCCAUAAUUACAAACAUCAAAUUGCCUUUCUUCCACAUUCAUAUUCAGUAUUUUUUGGUUCUUUUUGUUAUUUUUUUUUUUAAUUUUAGCUGUUAGGGGGAAUUUCAUUAAUAAGUUGAGCUGUGGGAUCCCAAGUAUGAGUGAACAAAAAGAGUGCCAAUAUUUUGCCCUGAAUGAGGUGAAAAUGCCGUUGAUCCUGGAAAUCUCCAGUUCUGUGACAGAUUUUCUCAAUGUUUCUAGCCUGCUGUUCCCGCUCCCCAUGAUAGUCUUCUCAUCCGUCCUUGGUGCUUCAGCCAUCUAAGCUUGCUUACAUUAAAAUUCUGGCCAUUUGUGAGAGGCAAACAGUAGUUUGCAGUACCCCCAUUGAGAGGAAUAUCAUAAAUUGAACAGAAAUUUAUCCGGAGUAAAGAGAACUGAGGCUUAUGGAAGGACAGGUCACUAUCUGUAGGAUUAUAGAUAUGACAUUCGUGGUCACUUAAAAAAUAUAUUACACAACACAAAGCUUAGUAUAACUGAUCCUCUGUCUGAGAGAUGUUCAGAAAAAUAGGCUGAGUUUUUAUAUUUAAAAAAAGGGGAAAAUUUAGAAGAAUUGAAGAGGUAGAAGUUAUAUCUGCUUAAUCUGAAAUGUCUCAUGAAUAGGUUAGUAUUAUUUAAAAAAACAAACCCAGCCUCUACAAAAUUAUUUUCUACACUCAAGAACCUGCGUAAAAGAUGGGCAUUUCCACUACAUGCAAAACACAUGCUGUCGUCAGCAGUGAGGUUUGUUCUCGGUUCUGAUGCAUCUGUGGUAAGCUGCAAACCAGCCUAAGCAGGUUGGCCCUGUUUUCUUCUCGUGUGAGGCUCAUCUGCAUGAAUAUGUUAGCAAAUAUAUAACCUUUCAUCUGUUUCUCAGGUGCAUUUACCCAUGGAGAAACUUUCCAAAUUAGGUGGUCAUGAUGAAUAAGGCAUACAGUGUUAAUGAAUUUUCUUGCCUUUAGACAACUUGUUCCAUACCUGUGGAAUGGAACAUGCAACCCAGAAUCCCUCAGUAUCUCAGGAUUCUUGAAGUAAUGGUGAACAAGGGAGAGGAAUGGCUAAGCAUUUAGGAAAGGCAUUCCUUGGGAGACAAGAUACUUCAGCAAUAAACCAGAACCAGUAACAGGUGGUCUACCUUUGCUAAGUUCUAGGAUUUUUGCUAGAACAGUUUUUUCUUCUUAGAGUCUGCACCUUUACUGGAAAUGGAGGUUCUGCUGAGUAAAUGAAGCAGUUGCUGUCUGCAGCAGGAAAAGUGGCAAUUUGAUGAAGGCAGUAAUAUUAGAAUGGGGCCACAGAAAGACUCUGGCAUGGAUGGUAGAAAAAACUGCUGCCUUCUAAACCUCAGAUAAUGGCUUAUAAGCUUGAUUUAAUACAGCUUCAUUUGAAAACCUGCCCCAAUAAGAUUACAGGGAGACUGAAAAAUCCUGGUAUCUUACAUUAGAAGUCCUGUGAAUUAGAUGAAUGAACAGUUCUCAAACCACCUGUUGCUCUUUCAUUCACUAGUCUCCUUUUCUUGGCAUUUUGAGGAUUUGGUAAUGGGGCCAAAAUAAGACAGUGAGUUAAUUAAUAUAAGGAGUAGAUAACAAAGGCAACAGGUAAACUCCUUAGUCUGUCUUCUCUAUUUUUGGACAGGGAGCCUUCUUUGAGGCCUGAUGGCAUCAGCUGAAGUCAAUAUCCUCAUAUGACUUAGAUUGAAGGAUAACCUGCCUCUUGCUGUGUAAAUGUAGACAAGCAUCCUAAAUGUAGAUCACAAGAGAGUGGUUUAUUUGAAAUCAUUGCAUGAUGUUUUAUUUAAAAUAGUUUUCCACAAAAUAAGACAAUUUAAUUUUCUCUUGCACCUUUCAUCCUCAAAUACUCUACAAACAUGAAUGGAUUAAAAUUGGCAACAAUCAAGAAUCAUAAACAGGAGAGAAGACACUCUCUAUAAAGUAGAUAAGUAUAAAGGUGAAGUUCUUUUACCAGGUGUGAGAACUGACAUAGAGGUUAAGUUUAUUUGUGUCUGCACAGGAAAUCUUGAGGGAAAAAAUAACAUAAAAUUCCUGAUUCCCAGACCUGCACAUUAAGAGAAGAAAAUUUCUUACUAGUACCAAAGA